RNAcentral lists this long non-coding RNA (711 nucleotides) under Rattus norvegicus (Norway rat). RNAcentral's name for it is "long non-coding RNA NONRATT019185". The record is from RNAcentral. Lineage: Eukaryota; Metazoa; Chordata; Mammalia; Rodentia; Muridae.
CAUCCACAGAAAACAAGAGGGAGACACUAGGAAGAUGGCUCAGUCCACCGAGCGUGUGUCACGGGCCAGGGCUGUCGCUACUGGAUCAGAACAUUCGUUCCAAGCUCCAGGCCUGGCCAGUUCACCCUGGGGAAUAUUCACAGCUACCCUCAGAUACAGAGCUACGAUGUGCAAGUGGCCGACACUGACUACGACCAGUUUGCCAUGGUAUUUUUCCAGAAGACCUCUGAAAACAAACAGUACUUCAAAGUCACCCUGUACGACCUCCACAGAUAACAAGUCUGAGGGUUCGUUUGUUAGUUCAGUCAUACUUAUGGAGUGUCCUGCGGCUGCUCUCUGGCAAUCUUGGUUGCAGGAAGAACCAAGGGGCUGUCCGAUGAACUGAAGGAGCGAUUCGUCAGCUUUGCCAAGUCUCUGGGCCUCAAGGAUAACAACAUCGUUUUCUCUGUUCCCACCGACCAAUGCAUUGACAACUGAACAGACGGUGAGCGUGGCUGACUGGGAUGUGCAGUGGCCUGAUGGUUCAGGUCCCACCUGUCUGUCUGCCGCUCCAUCUUUCCUGUUGCCAGAGAAUCACCUGGCUGCCCCACCAGCCAUGAUUCCACCAAGCAUCUGAUCCCUCUUAUUUGAUCAGCUCUCCCCAUCCACCUGUGUUAACGCUGCCCCACCAACGGGCUCCCCCUUUCUGCUGAAUAAACACAUGUCCCCAGU